ACUCUCGUGUGGUAAGGUUGUUAAAAAGUUUUAUCUCAUAAAAUCGCAAAUUUUAAAGUAUAAAGUUAAAAAAGUUUAAAAAUUGAGCGGGAAAAAUUUUAAAAAGAUUUAAGAUAUUUUUUAAAAAUAAUUAUAAAAGACAAAUUUAUUUCGUUUCAUAAAAACUUCUCGAAUAAAUAAAAUUUAAUUAAUUAAAAACAGUACCUUCUACAAAAAAAAAGUGAAAAUGUCUGACAGAAAUAUUCAACGUUACGGUCAAUCUGGAAGCAACGUUAGCCAUUAUUCCUCGCACGGUCGACACGCAUAUUCGUCUGGAACUGAGAUUCAGGUUAAAGAACGGUAUAAUGUAGAGCAUCGCUCAAAUGGACAUUCUGUCGAGUACCAAAUGAAAUUGAAGGUGAAGGAUACUUACGGCCAUUCGUCACACUAUAAAGCAUCCAGUUACGAAUAUGAUUCAGAUUAAUGUUUCAAAAGCAUCACUGGUGAUCGUCUCGCGUACUUUUUUUUUAUUAAAUUUUAAAGUGUGUCAAUAUUAUUAAUUAUUAUGUUGAUUCAUGUUUUCAAGAAUAUUUUUCCAAGUUUAGAUGAAUAAAACAAAAAAUAAAAAAAAAAGAAAUAAUGAAAAUAAAUUAUCAAGCCUAUA
Culicoides brevitarsis is the source of this 643-nucleotide long non-coding RNA. RefSeq lists it as uncharacterized. The transcript has 3 exons. The record is from RefSeq and is a predicted model, not a curated record. NCBI's taxonomy places the organism in Eukaryota, Metazoa, Arthropoda, Insecta, Diptera, Ceratopogonidae.